Molecule: non-coding RNA, 29 nt
Filed under: Homo sapiens (human)
Lineage: Eukaryota; Metazoa; Chordata; Mammalia; Primates; Hominidae
Source: RNAcentral
GAAGGAAAUAGGAACACACCAGGAUGAGC